RNAcentral lists this transfer RNA (71 nucleotides) under uncultured archaeon. RNAcentral describes it as "tRNA-Gly(ccc)". It matches the Rfam family "tRNA". Rfam says of the family: Transfer RNA (tRNA) molecules are approximately 80 nucleotides in length. The record is from RNAcentral.
ACGCCAAUGAUCUAACGGUAUGAUGCGACCUUCCCAAGGUCGACGCCCGGGUUCAAUUCCCGGUUGGCGUA